RNAcentral lists this long non-coding RNA (498 nucleotides) under Nicotiana benthamiana. RNAcentral's name for it is "long non-coding RNA (NBEN_LNC042382)". Lineage: Eukaryota; Viridiplantae; Streptophyta; Magnoliopsida; Solanales; Solanaceae. The record is from RNAcentral.
AGAAAACAAAGUGUGGUUAGCUAUCUGGUUGUUCAAAUUUACUUCAACGUCACUCAAUGAAAGAAUGUUGGUAGACACAUAUUGCUGUUCAGCAGAGAGGUGAGAAGGCCCAGGACCGGCACUAAUUGCAGAUGACCAUCCAUGAUCUGUUUUACAUUCACUCCGACUAACAUUAUUCUGCGUACCGGAGGAGCUGGAUUCUCCUAAAUUCCAGCCAAUUAUAUUCUGUCUUUCUUGGUUUACAGGACUAAGGUUCGCUCCGACUAACAUUAUUCUGCGUACCGGAGGAGCUGGAUUCUCCUAAAUUCCAGCCAAUUAUAUUCUGUCUUUCUUGGUUUACAGGACUAAGAAACUGUAUGUUUGUCUCAUUAGAAGGUACCAUAUAAUCUGGUAGCCGACUUUGUGCAGGAUUCUGCAAAUUAUUCCAACAAAUCUGCUGAUCUAUAUUGCCAUCACUCGAUGUUGAACCAUGAUUGAAACUCAAAGUUUCUGGCAGGU